This 253-nucleotide ribosomal RNA is filed under the name uncultured bacterium. Its description in RNAcentral is "partial 16S ribosomal RNA". It matches the Rfam family "Bacterial small subunit ribosomal RNA", at positions 524 to 776 of the family's 1533-position model. The record is from RNAcentral.
UACGUAGGGUGCGAGCGUUGUCCGGAGUUACUGGGCGUAAAGGGUGCGCAGGCGGCCUUGCGCGUCGCGAGUGAAAUCUCCCGGCUCAACUGGGAGGGUGGUCGCGAGACGGCAGGGCUUGAGGCUCGGUGAGGGGCGUGGAAUUCCGGGUGGAGCGGUGAAAUGCGUAGAGAUCGGAAAGAACACCAACGGCGAAAGCACUCUGCUGGGCCGACACUGACACUGAGAGACGAAAGCUAGGGGAGCGAAUGGG